RNAcentral lists this ribosomal RNA (510 nucleotides) under uncultured bacterium. RNAcentral's name for it is "bacterial SSU rRNA". It matches the Rfam family "Bacterial small subunit ribosomal RNA", at positions 393 to 904 of the family's 1533-position model. The record is from RNAcentral.
CAUGCUGCGUGGGGGUGAGGCCCUAUGGGGCGUAAACUGCUUUUCUUCGGGAAGAAACCCUUGGUUUCCCCGGACCUUGCCGGAACCGAUUGAAUAACGCCCGGCCAACUCCGGGCCACCGGCCGGGGAAUUCCGGAGGGGCCAAGCGUUAUCCGGAUUCCUGGGGGUUAAAGGGGGCCCGGGGGGCCAAGUAAGUCAGUGGUGAAACCCUUGGGUUCACCCGGAAAAUUGCUUUUGAAACUACUUGCUUUGAGUGCGGAAAAGGUGGGCGGAUUGUAGCAUGUAGCGGUGAAAUGCAUAGAUUUGCUACAGAACACCGAUGGCGAAAGCAGCUUACCACACUGUAACUGACGCUGAGGCACGAAAGCAUGGGUAGCAAACAGGAUUAGAUACCCUGGUAGUCCAUGCCGUAAACUUUGAACACUCGGAGUUUGCCACCUAGGGGUAAGCUCCCUAGCGAAAGCGUUAAGUGUUCCACCUGGGGAGUACGGCCGCAAGGUUAAAACUCAA